AUGGUUGCGCUUAUCCAAUGCCACGCAUUGGUCCUAGAUAGCAUACUGCAAGGUUUUCCCGGCCGGCGCAUAGGUUUCCCGAUCACCUAUUUGGGUUUGCCAAUCUCCUUAGGAAGACUGAAGAAGGUGCACCUCCAGUUCAUUUUUGAUCGCAUCAAGGCUAAGCUAGCAGGAUGGAAGAGGAGACUAAUGAACAGCGCGGGCCGGCGAGGGCUUGUCCGCUCUAUGCUUUCAGCCAUUCCUAUCUUCGUGCUCACUGCAAUCAAGGCCUCGGGUGGAAUUUUGAAGGAUAUUGACAAGAUAUGCAAGCAUUUCCUCUGGGCUCAGGAAGAGAAACUGUCCGGCGGAAAAUGCAAAGUCAACUGGCAGACGGUUUGCUCCUCGAUCGAACUUGGCGGACUAGGAGUUCUAAAUAGUGCAAAAUUCGCAAGGGCCCUGCAGCUGAGAUGGUUAUGGCUGUCGUGGGAUGAGAUUGGCCGGCCUUGGACUAGCUUCCCCUUGCAGUGUGAUGACCAGGAUUGCACUACUAGGGAAAACAUUAUACACAGAAACAUAGCAGUAGCGCGGGUCAAAAAACGGCGCUAG
RNAcentral lists this ribosomal RNA (585 nucleotides) under Triticum aestivum (bread wheat). Its description in RNAcentral is "partial small subunit ribosomal RNA". The record is from RNAcentral. Lineage: Eukaryota; Viridiplantae; Streptophyta; Magnoliopsida; Poales; Poaceae.